This 501-nucleotide ribosomal RNA is filed under the name uncultured bacterium. RNAcentral's name for it is "partial 16S ribosomal RNA". It matches the Rfam family "Bacterial small subunit ribosomal RNA", at positions 29 to 523 of the family's 1533-position model. The record is from RNAcentral.
AUUGAACGCUGGCGGCAUGCCUUACACAUGCAAGUCGAACGGCAGCACGGGUGCUUGCACCUGGUGGCGAGUGGCGAACGGGUGAGUAAUACAUCGGAACGUACCUUAUCGUGGGGGAUAACGCAGCGAAAGCUGUGCUAAUACCGCAUACGCCCUGAGGGGGAAAGCGGGGGAUCGCAAGACCUCGCGCGAUUAGAGCGGCCGAUGCCUGAUUAGCUUGUUGGUGGGGUAAAAGCCCACCAAGGCGACGAGCAGUAGCUGGUCUGAGAGGACGAACAGCCACACUGGGACUGGGACACGACCCAGACUCCUACGGGAGGCAGCAGGGGGGAAUUUUGGACAAUGGGGGCAACCCUGACCCAGCAAUGCCGCGUGAGUGAAGAGGGCCUUCGGGUUGUAAAGCUCUUUUGUCAGGGAAGAAACACCGGCUCUAACACAGUCCGGGAAUGACGGUACCUGAAGAAUAAGCACCGGCUAACUACGUGCCAGCCGCCGCGGUAA